CUCAGACGGGAGAGACGCGCCGCUCGCGCUCUCGGCCACACUGUGACCCUCCCAAGCCAACUCUCCUAGUGGAUAUCUUGCAUUUCCGUGUCGACGGGAAGAGGAAUCCCAAAAUAACUUUCGUGUCAAACUAUGGCGUAAAAAGAAUAAGAUCCAGUAAUUCAGAGAGAUUGGAUAAUAUCAAAAUAACAGAACCAAAACAACAAGAAAAUAGCAAGAAAUAAGUGCAGAAAAUCUGAAUCAGACACGCUCCAAGAGGUCAGCAAAAUGACCUUGACGACCCUGUCUUGACCCCGAGAGUGACGAAGAAGCACAGACUUACUUCCCGCCAGGUUAAGUCGUGAGGGAUACUGUGCUUAAAGUUUUCCCUCUGCAUUUUCGGCUGCUCACCACUUUUAUUAACAUUUAGCUGGAGACCUUGGCCUUGGCUGGCUCCUCCAGAGAGCACUGGUGCCGUGCCGUUGCCAGACUGUCCAUCACGGCGGCUCGUGUGGGCUUUAAUCCGAAUGGCUCUGCCGGGGUCGCCGCCAGGGCGUGUAUGUUGGCGCGUGUGAAUUCA
Penaeus vannamei (Pacific white shrimp) is the source of this 559-nucleotide long non-coding RNA. RefSeq lists it as uncharacterized. The record is from RefSeq and is a predicted model, not a curated record. NCBI's taxonomy places the organism in Eukaryota, Metazoa, Arthropoda, Malacostraca, Decapoda, Penaeidae.